GACUGUAUAGCUUUUAAGAGCAUUAAUUUUGAACAUUAAAGGAGGCACAUGAACGUGUCUAUAGUUU
This 67-nucleotide transfer RNA is filed under the name Cypridina dentata. RNAcentral's name for it is "tRNA-Ser". The record is from RNAcentral. Lineage: Eukaryota; Metazoa; Arthropoda; Ostracoda; Myodocopida; Cypridinidae.